UACGUAGGUGGCAAGCGUUGUCCGGAAUUAUUGGGCGUAAAGCGCGCGCAGGUGGUUUCUUAAGUCUGAUGUGAAAGCCCACGGCUCAACCGUGGAGGGUCAUUGGAAACUGGGGAACUUGAGUGCAGAAGAGGAAAGUGGAAUUCCAAGUGUAGCGGUGAAAUGCGCAGAUAUCAGGAAGAACACCCGUGGCGAAGGCGGCUCUCUGGGACGGUACUGACGCUGAGACGCGAAAGCGUGGGGAGCGAACAGG
Molecule: ribosomal RNA, 253 nt
Filed under: uncultured bacterium
Lineage: Bacteria
Description: partial 16S ribosomal RNA
Rfam family: Bacterial small subunit ribosomal RNA
Source: RNAcentral